GAAUAACAGAAAAUAGUCAAAUUCCAUUCACAUACAAAGCCACAGAGAAAAGGGUAGAGAAAACAGAACUAAAAAAGAGUCUCAAAUGGCGUUGCAGUGGAUGAUACUCACUUACGUCGUCGCAGUGGAGGCGGUUCUUGCGGCGGUCUUAACUAUUCCAUCGCCGAAGCUUUUGAAGUAUCGAUUAGUCUCUCUCGUCUCUCUCCUUCUCCAACCUGCUCUCUUCAUUGUUCCUUUCGCCGGCUUCCAGCUCCUGGAUAUCUAUUGGAAGAAUGAGCAUCGCUUGAUGUGCACUUC
RNAcentral lists this unclassified non-coding RNA (297 nucleotides) under Hevea brasiliensis (rubber tree). Lineage: Eukaryota; Viridiplantae; Streptophyta; Magnoliopsida; Malpighiales; Euphorbiaceae. The record is from RNAcentral.